AGUGAACGCUGGCGGUAGGUCUAACACAUGCAAGUCGAACGGCAGCACAGUAAGAGCUUGCUCUUACGGGUGGCGAGUGGCGGACGAGUGAGGAAUACAUCGGAAUCUACUUUUUCGUGGGGGAUAACGUAGGGAAACUUACGCUAAUACCGCAUACGACCUACGGGUGAAAGCAGGGGAUCUUCGGACCUUGCGCGAUUGAAUGAGCCGAUGUCGGAUUAGCUAGUUGGCGGGGUAAAGGCCCACCAAGGCGACGAUCCGUAGCUGGUCUGAGAGGAUGAUCAGCCACACUGGAACUGAGACACGGUCCAGACUCCUACGGGAGGCAGCAGUGGGGAAUAUUGGACAAAGGGCGCAAGCCUGAUCCAGCCAUACCGCGUGGGUGAAGAAGGCCUUCGGGUUGUAAAGCCCUUUUGUUGGGAAAGAAAAGCAGCAGGUUAAUACCCCGCUGUUCUGACGGUACCCAAAGAAUAAGCACCGGCUAACUUCGUG
This 492-nucleotide ribosomal RNA is filed under the name uncultured bacterium. RNAcentral describes it as "partial 16S ribosomal RNA". It matches the Rfam family "Bacterial small subunit ribosomal RNA", at positions 29 to 507 of the family's 1533-position model. The record is from RNAcentral.